GAUGAACGCUGGCGGCGUGCCUAAUACAUGCAAGUCGAACGCUGGAAAUCUAGCUUGCUAGAUUGAAGGAGUGGCGAACGGGUGAGUAAUACAUAAGCAACCUACCCACGAAGACUGGGAUAAUCUCUGGAAACGGGGACUAAUACCGGAUAGGUAAUCGGAAGGCAUCUUCUGAUUAUUAAAGGUUAAAAACACUGGUGGAUGGGCUUAUGGCGCAUUAGUUAGUUGGUGAGGUAACGGCCCACCAAGACGAUGAUGCGUAGCCGGCCUGAGAGGGUGAAGGGCAAAAUUGGAACUGGGACACGGCCAGAACUCCAAGGGGGGGAGGCAGAAGGGAAUUUUCGGAAAGGGGGGAAACCCGACCGGGGAAACGCGCGUGAGUGAUGACGGCCUUCGGGUUGUAAAGCUCUGUUGUAAGGGAAGAACGGUAGAUAGAGAAUAUCUAAAUGACGGUACCUUACCAGAAAGCCACGGCUAACUACGUG
This 485-nucleotide ribosomal RNA is filed under the name uncultured bacterium. RNAcentral describes it as "partial 16S ribosomal RNA". It matches the Rfam family "Bacterial small subunit ribosomal RNA", at positions 28 to 507 of the family's 1533-position model. The record is from RNAcentral.